Molecule: long non-coding RNA, 276 nt
Filed under: Oryza sativa tropical japonica subgroup
Lineage: Eukaryota; Viridiplantae; Streptophyta; Magnoliopsida; Poales; Poaceae
Description: lncRNA OsCMeo_10g0005270
Source: RNAcentral
CUUCUAUUUGGAUGUUUGGACAACGAGGUCGACGCUGGCAAGGCCGUGCUCGCGGCGUCGCUUCCUGGUUCAUCGCAGCCGCCAUCGUUACCUGAUGAUUUGCUGCCCGGCCUUCCCGUCUCCAGGUCAGCUGUACAUCACCCCCCUCCCCAAUUUCUUCCUCCUUGGCAUAGUCCACCAAGGAGUGAUGGCAGGAUAAAAGUGACACUUCUCUACUAUGCUGAUCCAUCCCAGAAAGCUUCUUCGACCACUACAUUCUAUUUUGCAUUGAGGUAA